UCUAGAGCUUUCCUUCCCGUGGAAACAGAUGAAGCUGAGGAGAAAAGCAUAAAAUUAUGAAUGACAAAAGCUGUCAGUAACUAGCUUCCCUUCUCCUUGGGAAAUAAGGGUAAGACUCAGGAAGAAAGCAGCAGGCUCCAAGAAUGUCCCUCUCGAAGAAGAAAGAAGGAAAUCGUCCUGGUGUGAAAAUGUUACUAUUUGUGGCUACAGGCGUAUUUCUGGGUGGAUUUUUAAAAAUCAUCCUUUGCACUGAAUCCACG
RNAcentral lists this long non-coding RNA (260 nucleotides) under Mustela putorius furo (domestic ferret). RNAcentral describes it as "lncRNA (ENSMPUG00000024778.1)". The record is from RNAcentral. Lineage: Eukaryota; Metazoa; Chordata; Mammalia; Carnivora; Mustelidae.